AUGCAGGCAGUGGAGAGUACACGGGAGGUGUGGGUAGGGGUGAAAACGCUGCCGGGAGCGUACUGCUGCUGCCGUUAUAUGGUUGGCAUGAGUGCGGUAUUGGUGGAUUGGCAUGAGUGCGGUAUUGGUGGACUAUUAGAUCAUCUUGGACAUUACUACUUGGAUUCUAGGUUGGAGGAGUCCCUAGCCUUGGCGACAGGUAGCGACGUGCACUUGGGCGCUUGGUGUCCUUGGGUAAGUUCGGGGCCGGUGCCCAAGCUUGCAGCUAUGGCGACAACUUGCAUGGGAGCAGAUGAUUAUGGUUGGCAUGAGUGCGGUAUUGGUGGACUAUUAGAUCAUCUUGGACAUUACUACUUGGAUUCUAGGUUGAAGGUAUAUAUGAUUGGCAUGAGUGUGGUAUUGGUGAGCUAUUGGAUCAUCUUGGAUAUCACUACUUGGAUUCUAGCGAGCAAGAGGGAAUCGCCUCGAGCCCCUCCCUUCUCAUCUCUCCCACGCAACCUCCAUGGUGGGCGGCUAGCUGGGGUUGCCGCCGCCGCCGCCCCCGCCCCAUCGGCCCAUCCUUGUUCAUCCUACACCGGCCACCGGAGAAGGGGCGUUCCUCAGAUCCUCUUCUCCCCAAACCUUCUCGUCUUCGUGUUCCACCCGUCCUCCAUGAUGGCUGUAGACGGGGCGGGGAAGGGGAUGUCAUCGAGGUGCCGUUCGGUGCCGUUCGGGCGGCGAGUUGCAGAGGAGGGGCGCGGGCAAGAGGAUGGCAUCGAGGGUUCUUGUGAAUCGUGUUGGUCGUUCUGGGGCGUUGGAGUGGGCCAAAUACCUGACGACGGGAAGGGCAACCUGGUGCAUGUAGCUCCCGCUUGCGCAGGGUCCAGGGAAGGGUCCGACCACUUUGGGUCUAUAAUUCAUCAUGUAAUAAAAAAGAGCCUUUGUGAUACAGAACAUGAUUUAAUUAUCUUUUACAACUCCCAUUUGGAUUCGUUCAGUGUCCACAGCUCUAGACAUCGAUCUCAUCUACCUCAUCUGUAUGAACAAGUUGGCAUGGAGCAGUCUGUUCUAAAAAUAAUAAAGAAGCUGAGAGAUCGACUGUUUGAGAAGCGGGUUCAGGAGAUCAAAGCCAACAACAACCUAGGCUUUGAAAAAGAUGUUAUGCCCUUGUUGUGCGUGUGCUAUAUUCAAGCCAAAGAUAUGAACUGGAGUGCAUAUGCAUGCAGGGGAGUGCAUCGGGGCAUCGGGCGGUCGUAUGAGAAGAAGUGCGUUCAGCUGAGGACCCAUGAUGCCAACGGUGUAGAGCCGUUCACCAUCGAGAGGAUCAGGGCUGCCAUUAGGACCUUCGAGGCGAAGCUCAACAUCUCCGCCGCCUUUCUCGACGAAAUCUCCCAAAGGCUCAUUGCCGCUUGCGAUAACUCAUAG
This 1404-nucleotide ribosomal RNA is filed under the name Triticum aestivum (bread wheat). Its description in RNAcentral is "partial small subunit ribosomal RNA". The record is from RNAcentral. Lineage: Eukaryota; Viridiplantae; Streptophyta; Magnoliopsida; Poales; Poaceae.